GAUGAACGCUGGCGGCGUGCCUAAUACAUGCAAGUCGAGCGAACGGACGAGAAGCUUGCUUCUCUGAUGUUAGCGGCGGACGGGUGAGUAACACGUGGAUAACCUACCUAUAAGACUGGGAUAACUUCGGGAAACCGGAGCUAAUACCGGAUGAUAUUUUGAACCGCAUGGUUCAAAAGUGAAAGACGGUCUUGCUGUCACUUAUAGAUGGAUCCGCGCUGCAUUAGCUAGUUGGUAAGGUAACGGCUUACCAAGGCAACGAUGCAUAGCCGACCUGAGAGGGUGAUCGGCCACACUGGAACUGAGACACGGUCCAGACUCCUACGGGAGGCAGCAGUAGGGAAUCUUCCGCAAUGGGCGAAAGCCUGACGGAGCAACGCCGCGUGAGUGAUGAAGGUCUUCGGAUCGUAAAACUCUGUUAUUAGGGAAGAACAUAUGUGUAAGUAACUGUGCACAUCUUGACGGUACCUAAUUAGAAAGCCACGGCUAACUACGUG
RNAcentral lists this ribosomal RNA (497 nucleotides) under uncultured bacterium. RNAcentral describes it as "partial 16S ribosomal RNA". It matches the Rfam family "Bacterial small subunit ribosomal RNA", at positions 28 to 507 of the family's 1533-position model. The record is from RNAcentral.